Molecule: ribosomal RNA, 492 nt
Filed under: uncultured bacterium
Lineage: Bacteria
Description: partial 16S ribosomal RNA
Rfam family: Bacterial small subunit ribosomal RNA
Source: RNAcentral
AGUGAACGCUGGCGGUAGGCCUAACACAUGCAAGUCGAACGGCAGCACAGUAAGAGCUUGCUCUUACGGGUGGCGAGUGGCGGGCGGGUGAGGAAUACAUCGGAAUCUACUUUUUCGUGGGGGCUAACGUAGGGACACUUACGCUAAUACCGCAUACGACCUACGGGUGAAAGCAGGGGAUCUUCGGACCUUGCGCGAUUGAAUGAGCCGAUGUCGGAUUAGCUAGUUGGCGGGGUAAAGGCCCACCAAGGCGACGAUCCGUAGCUGGUCUGAGAGGAUGAUCAGCCACACUGGAACUGAGACACGGUCCAGACUCCUACGGGAGGCAGCAGUGGGGAAUAUUGGACAAUGGGCGAAAGCCUGAUCCAGCCAUACCGCGUGGGUGAAGAAGGCCUUCGGGUUGUAAAGCCCUUUUGUUGGGAAAGAAAAGCAGCAGGUUAAUACCCCGCUGUUCUGACGGUACCCAAAGAAUAAGCACCGGCUAACUUCGUG